UUGGCCUCAAAUCGGGUGAGACUACCCGCUGAACUUAAGCUAUAA
This 45-nucleotide ribosomal RNA is filed under the name Lactarius helvus. RNAcentral describes it as "partial 28S ribosomal RNA". Lineage: Eukaryota; Fungi; Basidiomycota; Agaricomycetes; Russulales; Russulaceae. The record is from RNAcentral.